GAGAAUUGAACAUCUUUGUUACUAAAAAGCAUCAAUUUGUAUCACAAAUAUUUCAACACAUUAAGCCAUCCCAGAUCAAGCAGAAGUACAUAUACAUGUCAAACUGGGAAGUAUCCGAAUGCAUGAGCAACUUAAGGACCGAAAUUAGUAUUUGAAUACAUGGGAACAUAACACAAGAGGCGUACAUAGAUCAUUUUUAGUACAUGGCCGGCAGGACGAAAUGUUAAGGACUGAAAUUAUCACUGCCCAACAUGCAUCUUGAUAGUACAUGAGAGAAAGAUCUAUCAUUUUCCCUCCUGUUUUAGUGCUUCCUAGUAAUCGAGCAUCAUCUGCUGUGAGAGAUGACAACCUCCAUGGACUCUUAUACAUUUAUCAGUUCAAUCUACCUAGCUAAGAACACGAAAUAAAUAUGUGUCAGUUAGAAACAAAUACGAAAUACCAGGAGAUGCCUAACAGAGAUGUUACUAUAUUCAAAUUUGAUAGCAGGAGAUGCAGAUUAUAUUCGAAUUCGAUAGCAUCAUUCACUGAGAAAAUUCGACAUGAACAAAAAAAUUAGAUUCAGAUAAAUUGCAGCAUUAAUCUACUUGAUAGAAAUUGAGAUGUAGCAGAAAUUACUAGGAAAUAAAAGUUAACAUCUACUCCCUCCGUCCGGAAAUACUUGUCAUCAAAAUGAAUGUAUCUAAAACUAAAAUACAUCUAGAUACAACUAUUUCAAUGACAAGUAUUUCCGGACGGAGGGAGUACUUACUACAAAAAUGAAGCACCUCCUCGCACUGCCGAUCGGGAAGGAGCUGGGGAGACCACAACCGACUUGCCGCCGACGUGGGGGAGGAGGAUGCGAUCUAUUACUGGAGCCUUAGAGAGAGGGGGAGGAGGUGACGAACCUAGAACUAUCGGACCUUCAGAACGGAGGUUGCGACGAGGACAGUGUGGAACGGAGGUUGGGGGCUGACGAGCUCCAAUCUGGUCCAGUCUCAAACUGGGCCGCCAGCCACACAACGGCAAGGAGCCAUUGGGAGAUCUGGAGCAGGGAGUACUCGUCUAGCUUGCAAAAGGGAUCUGGGUCGCCGCCGCCGCCGCCGCUGGGGAAAAAUCUGUUCGUGCGCUGCCUCUCCCCAGG
This 1120-nucleotide long non-coding RNA is filed under the name Triticum aestivum (bread wheat). Its description in RNAcentral is "long non-coding RNA (TAES_LNC012587)". The stretch from base 633 to 747 matches the Rfam family "MIR1120/MIR1122 microRNA precursor family". The record is from RNAcentral. Lineage: Eukaryota; Viridiplantae; Streptophyta; Magnoliopsida; Poales; Poaceae.